Small nucleolar RNA from Dioscorea cayenensis subsp. rotundata (Guinea yam), 109 nucleotides. The record is from RefSeq and is a predicted model, not a curated record. NCBI's taxonomy places the organism in Eukaryota, Viridiplantae, Streptophyta, Magnoliopsida, Dioscoreales, Dioscoreaceae.
AAACCAUGGUGGGGGCACCUUCUAAGGAGAUCCUUGAAUCUCUCAUAAGCUUCAAAACAAUGUUUUCGGACUCCCCUUGUUUAAAGGCUGAAAUUUCUUGCCUCAACUU